RNAcentral lists this long non-coding RNA (989 nucleotides) under Heterocephalus glaber (naked mole-rat). RNAcentral describes it as "lncRNA (ENSHGLG00000035226.1)". The record is from RNAcentral. Lineage: Eukaryota; Metazoa; Chordata; Mammalia; Rodentia; Bathyergidae.
CUCUGAUUGGCUGGCCGGAGGCGGAGCGAUUGUCAGGCGGCCCAAUCGGAGCGUGGUUUCCCACGGGCUCCCGCGGCCCCGCCCCCACGGCCUCCGGUGGAGGCUCCCCUGGCAGCUCCCAUUGGCUGCCGGCGAGCGGUCCAGAGCUCGGCGGGGCACAUCUGCGCCGCCGCCGUCGGGCGCUCAGCUCUGCAGCGCGGAGAUCGCUUUGGAGCUCUCAGCUCCAGGGCCCCAGCGGCCCCGCAUUGUGCCCGGCGCGGGCGCGGGCGCGGGGAUCUGGGGCGGGCUUUGCAGGUUGAUGGCUGCAUUCCAGAUGUUAACACUGUCAGAAGCUUGACUUCCAUGUGUGCUGGGAAUCGAACUCAGGACCUUGAAUUUGCAAGGUAUUAUGACAAGUACUGGAGAAGGCUUAUGAUCGCCCAGUGGAUGAGACAUGUAUCCGUGCAUACAUGGAUCUGUGCAUACAUGAAGACAGGACUGUAAGGCAGAAGGAGAAGUAUGCAAAACUUAGAAGAGAAAUGCCUGUUGUGUUAGGAUCUGCAGAGGGAGAUCUUUUCUCCUGAUCACUGCCAUAAAUAUUUGAAGAUGAGAUCGGGGUCCUCAAAUUAUUGUCUGCGGACCAAAUCCUGCAGGCUUUCUGGUUUUGUGCAAUCAUUGAAAUACAAAUACUUUUUAUAUUUUUAAAUGGCUGAGAAUUAAAAAAACCCCACAAGGGCAAUAUAGUCAUGUGCCACAAACCAUGUUUCAGUCAGUAAUGGGUCAUACAUUGUUCAGUGGCCCCAUAUAAGAUUUCGUUGUCUGCGAUGUUGUAGCUGGUUUAGUUUGUAUACAUACAUUCUAUGAUGUUUGUACAACGAUGAAGUAGCCUAACGAUGAGUUUCUCAAAAUGUAUCCCCCUCAUUAAGUGAUACACAGCUGUAAUAAUUUGUGCCCUGUGAAAAUAAUAUGAAUUUCAAAUUUCAGUGUUCACAAUAAAGUUUUAUUGGAAC